UGGGGAAUCUUGCGCAAUGGGGGAAACCCUGACGCAGCGACGCCGCGUGCGGGAUGAAGGCCUUCGGGUUGUAAACCGCUUUCAGCAGGGACGAGGCCUUAUGGUGACGGUACCUGCAGAAGAAGCUCCGGCUAAAUACGUGCCAGCAGCCGCGGUAAUACGUAUGGAGCAAGCGUUAUCCGGAUUCAUUGGGCGUAAAGCGCUCGUAGGCGGUCUGUUAGGUCGGAAAGUUAAAUCCGGGGGCUCAACCCCCGUCCGCUUCCGAUACCGGCAGACUUGAGUUUGGUAGGGGAAGGUGGAAUUCCUAGUGUAGCGGUGGAAUGCGCAGAUAUUAGGAAGAACACCGGUGGCGAAGGCGGCCUUCUGGGCCAUAACUGACGCUGAGGAGCGAAAGCUAGGGGAGCGAACAGG
RNAcentral lists this ribosomal RNA (411 nucleotides) under Verrucomicrobiota bacterium. RNAcentral's name for it is "Verrucomicrobia bacterium partial 16S ribosomal RNA". It matches the Rfam family "Bacterial small subunit ribosomal RNA", at positions 355 to 776 of the family's 1533-position model. The record is from RNAcentral. Lineage: Bacteria; Pseudomonadati; Verrucomicrobiota.